UACGGAGGGUGCAAGCGUUGUUCGGAAUCACUGGGCGUAAAGGGCGUGUAGGCGGUCUAUCAAGUCUGGUGUGAAAUCCCCUCGCUCAACGAGGGAACUGCGCCGGAAACUGACAGACUAGAGUACCGGAGAGGAAGGUGGAAUUCCCGGUGUGAGCGGUGAAAUGCGUAAGAUAUCGGGAGGAACACCGGUGGCGAAGGCGGCCUUCUGGACGGAUACUGACGGCUGAGACGCGAAAGCCAGGGGAGCGAACGGGAUUAAGAAACCCCGUGGUAGUCCAAGACCGAAUGUACCU
This 295-nucleotide ribosomal RNA is filed under the name uncultured bacterium. Its description in RNAcentral is "partial 16S ribosomal RNA". It matches the Rfam family "Bacterial small subunit ribosomal RNA", at positions 524 to 812 of the family's 1533-position model. The record is from RNAcentral.